GACGAACGCUGGCGGCGUGCUUAACACAUGCAAGUCGAACGGAAAGGCCUGCUUUCCCUUGUGGAUUGCGGGUACUCGAGUGGCGAACGGGUGAGUAACACGUGAGUGAUCUGCCCCCAACUUGGGUAUAAGCCUGGGAAACUGGGUCUAAUUCCCGAUAGGACUGCAGGGUGGUGCCUGUGGUGGAAAACGAUUUUCUAGUGGUUGGGGAUGAGCUCGCGGCCUAUCAGCUUGUUGGUGGGGUAAUGGCCUACCAAGGCGGCGACGGGUAGCCGGCCUGAGAGGGUGGACGGCCACAUUGGGACUGAGAUACGGCCCAGACUACUACGGGAGGCAGCAGUGGGGAAUAGUGCACAAUGGGCGGAAGCCUGAUGCAGCGACGCCGCGUGGGGGAUGACGGCCUUCGGGUUGUAAACUCCUUUCGACCGCGAGGAAGCCACCUGGUUGGAAGGGUGGUGACGGUAGUGGUAGAAGAAGCACCGGCUAACUACGUG
Molecule: ribosomal RNA, 494 nt
Filed under: uncultured bacterium
Lineage: Bacteria
Description: partial 16S ribosomal RNA
Rfam family: Bacterial small subunit ribosomal RNA
Source: RNAcentral